CGGCCUCCGUCUCUCUCCCUCUCGCACAUUCAUCUUCAACAGAGAGAGAGAGAGAGAGAGAGAGAGAGAAGGAAGAUGGGACUCGUUUCUUGUGAAUGCGGAUCUGGGUUUUCUUCGGCCACGGCAAUUGCCCAAGAAACCACGCAAAACGAGGCCUUCCUCGAUGCCCAUCACGAGGAAUGGCCGUUCUUGAUCUCGCCCACCUACGACGCAGCGGAAGCGGUGGACGGCACCGAGAAGAAGAGGAAGGAGAAGAAGCUGGAGAAGAAGAAGAGCCAGGUGUUGCUCGAAGGGUACGUGGAGGCGGCGGACGAGGACGACCUGGUGAGGACCAAGAGCUUGACGGACGAGGACCUUGAUGAGCUCAAAGGGUGCUUGGAUCUUGGUUUCGGGUUCAGCUACGACGAGAUUCCUGAGCUCUGCAACACCUUGCCCGCCCUCGAGCUGUGCUAUUCGAUGAGCCAAAAGUUCCAGCUCGACGACCACCAGAAGUCGCCGGAGAGAUCCGCCACGCCAUCGUCCGCGGCGGAGUCCCCUCCGGCCGCGGCUGCCAGCCCCAUCGCCAGCUGGAAGAUCUCUAGCCCUGGUGAUCAUCCCGAAGAUGUUAAAGCAAGACUCAAGUUUUGGGCUCAGGCUGUGGCUUGCACAGUCAGAUUAUGCAGCUGAAAAGCUCACAGGGAGACAUACGUGGCUUCAUUCAUCAAGGAGAAACGCAUCACUUAGCAAUUUUGUCCUUGAUGGGGUUGAAUAGCCCGAAUCUGCGAGACCAUGCAAUAUUCCUAUCUGUUUCCGCAAAGUCUCGGGUUGCAGGAACUGGAAACCUCUCUGCAAUUUUGGAGCCGGGGUGGAUAUCCACCGAACAUCGAAUUGGCCGGCUUUGAAGAAGUUGAAGACAAGGGGACUAAUGUCUCAGAGGCGAGAAUUGUUCUUUAUUACAAGUUUUCUCCGAUUAACAGCAGACCUCUGUGUAGGCCGAGAUGAUGAAGAACACCCAUUUGGGCAAUAUUGUGGUGCCGACUGAAAAUGGAGCAAAAGGAGGGAGUGAGAAGUAGAAAGAUGCUGCUUCCGACACCUCCUAAUAGGUCUCCACAUCAUCCAUCUCUCUGACUUUGUUUUGUUGAUUCUCUUGUCCUUUCUGUCGUAUGAAUUUUGGACAAUUGCUAACUACAAUGUGCUUGACAACCCGGUGGUUUGUGUUUGGUUCUUCUGUGAUGGUUUUACAUGUACUGGAAAAUGCUCCACUUAAAAGUAGUCAACUGUAGAUCUAGUUGAGAAACGUGUGGCUAUCACGAGGAUUCCAAAAGACUCGCAUGAAUGGCGUUGUUAUCCGUUAAUUCAUUGUAACGGUUCGUAGUAUUAUGCGGCAGCUAUGGCCUCCUAGCAAGUGAGAUAUCUGUAUACCUGUAGCAACCUAGUGCUUGGACAUGUUGCUUACAUGGUGUUUUCAGAUGAUUAGUGCAUUAGAGAGAGGAAUUUCCAUCAUCAUUUUCUGGAUCUGGAGGUCAUGUCUUAUAAGGUCUCAGGUAAUCUUGGAAUAUAAAUGCAAAAGCAACCAGGUGGCCAGCUUUUGUUUCCGUGUAGCCGUGUUGGUCUAGUAGAGAAGAAGAAGAAGAAGAAGAAUGGAGUUGUGUUGAGAAUCUGGAAGUUCCUGGUCUGUUCUACAACUCCUAGUUCUUCCUUUAGAGCAGUCCAUACAACCAUUUCGCGAUUUCUUUCUCAGUCUUUUGACUCCUGGAGCUAACAUUUGUUACUUUGCCCGGCAUGUUCUCUGCGAAGCUUGAAGUUACUGAAGAUAACUGCAUCGCCUUUUCGU
RNA transcript from Syzygium oleosum, 1813 nucleotides. RefSeq lists it as uncharacterized. The transcript has 4 exons. The record is from RefSeq and is a predicted model, not a curated record. NCBI's taxonomy places the organism in Eukaryota, Viridiplantae, Streptophyta, Magnoliopsida, Myrtales, Myrtaceae.